CUACGGGCGGCAGCAGGCGAGAAAACUUUGCAAUGUGCGCAAGCACGACAAGGUUAAUCCGAGUGGUUUCUGCUAAAGGAACCUUUUGACAGUCCUAGAAACACUGUUGAAUAAGGGGUGGGCAAGUUCUGGUGUCAGCCGCCGCGGUAAAACCAGCACCUCAAGUGGUCAGGAUGAUUAUUGGGCCUAAAGCAUCCGUAGCCGGCUCUGUAAGUUUUCGGUUAAAUCUGUACGCUUAACGUACAGGCUGCCGGGAAUACUGCAGAGCUAGGGAGUGGGAGAGGUAGACGGUACUCGGUAGGAAGGGGUAAAAUCCUUUGAUCUAUUGAUGACCACCAGUGGCGAAGGCGGUCUACCAGAACACGUCCGACGGUGAGGGAUGAAAGCUGGGGGAGCAAACCGGAUUAGAUACCCCCGUAGUC
This 422-nucleotide ribosomal RNA is filed under the name uncultured archaeon. RNAcentral's name for it is "partial 16S ribosomal RNA". It matches the Rfam family "Archaeal small subunit ribosomal RNA", at positions 323 to 746 of the family's 1478-position model. The record is from RNAcentral.